GAUGAAGAACGUAGCGAAAUGCGAUACUUGGUGUGAAUUGCAGAAUCCCGUGAACCAUCGAGUCUUUGAACGCAAGUUGCGCCCGAAGCCAUUAGGCCGAGGGCACGCCUGCCUGGGUGUCACACACCGUUACCCUCGCGCCAACGUCCAUCGUUGGCCGCGGCGCGGGGCGUGCGCUGACCUCCCGCGAGCGGGGUCUCGUGGUUGGUUGAAAAUCGAGUUCGCGGUCGAGGGUGCCGUGAUGAAAUGGUGGAUGGGCGACGCCCGAGGCCAAUCACGCGCGACUCUGUCCGGCUCGGCCUCCUGGACCCCUUCGGCGUCUCCGGACGCUCUUUGGCGAGACCUCAGGUCAGGCGGGGCUACCCGCUGAGUUUAAGCAUAUCAAUAAGCGGAGGA
This 396-nucleotide unclassified non-coding RNA is filed under the name soil metagenome. RNAcentral's name for it is "partial contains 5.8S ribosomal RNA, internal transcribed spacer 2, and large subunit ribosomal RNA". The stretch from base 1 to 122 matches the Rfam family "5.8S ribosomal RNA", at positions 35 to 154 of the family's 154-position model. The record is from RNAcentral.